This 468-nucleotide ribosomal RNA is filed under the name uncultured bacterium. RNAcentral describes it as "partial 16S ribosomal RNA". It matches the Rfam family "Bacterial small subunit ribosomal RNA", at positions 28 to 507 of the family's 1533-position model. The record is from RNAcentral.
GACGAACGCUGGCGGCGUGCUUAACACAUGCAAGUCGAACGGAAAGGCCCUGCUUUUGUGGGGUGCUCGAGUGGCGAACGGGUGAGUAACACGUGAGUAACCUGCCCUUGACUUUGGGAUAACUUCAGGAAACUGGGGCUAAUACCGGAUAGGAGCUCCUGCUGCAUGGUGGGGGUUGGAAAGUUUCGGCGGUUGGGGAUGGACUCGCGGCUUAUCAGCUUGUUGGUGGGGUAGUGGCUUACCAAGGAUUUGACGGGUAGCCGGCCUGAGAGGGUGACCGGCCACAUUGGGACUGAGAUACGGCCCAGACUCCUACGGGAGGCAGCAGUGGGGAAUAGUGCACAAUGGGCGGAAGCCUGAUGCAGCAACGCCGCGUGCGGGAUGACGGCCUUCGGGUUGUAAACCGCUUUCGCCUGUGACGAAGCGUAAGUGACGGUAAUGGGUAAAGAAGCACCGGCUAACUACGUG